This 328-nucleotide ribosomal RNA is filed under the name uncultured eukaryote. RNAcentral's name for it is "partial 18S ribosomal RNA". It matches the Rfam family "Eukaryotic small subunit ribosomal RNA", at positions 1470 to 1796 of the family's 1831-position model. The record is from RNAcentral.
CCCUUAGAUGUCCAGGGCCGCACGCGCGUUACACUGAUGCAUUCAACGAGCUUAUAACCUUGGCCGAGAGGCCUGGGCAAUCUUGUUAACGUGCAUCGUGAUAGGGAUAGAUUAUUGAAAUUAUUAAUCUUGAACGAGGAAUUCCUAGUAAACGCAGAUCAUCAAUCUGCAUUGAUUACGUCCCUGCCCUUUGUACACACCGCCCGUCGCACCUACCGAUUGGAUGGUCCGGUGAAGCCUCGGGAUUGUGGUUCUUGCCGCUUUAUUGUGGCGUGACCGCGAGAACUUGUCUAAACCUUAUCAUCUAGAGGAAGGUGAAGUCGUAACA